Molecule: non-coding RNA, 224 nt
Filed under: Aeromonas veronii
Lineage: Bacteria; Pseudomonadati; Pseudomonadota; Gammaproteobacteria; Aeromonadales; Aeromonadaceae
Also listed under: 1 other name
Description: Lysine
Rfam family: Lysine riboswitch aptamer
About the family: Riboswitches are metabolite binding domains within certain messenger RNAs that serve as precision sensors for their corresponding targets. Allosteric rearrangement of mRNA structure is mediated by ligand binding, and this results in modulation of gene expression. This family includes riboswitches that sense lysine in a number of genes involved in lysine metabolism, including lysC.
Source: RNAcentral
GGAGCCAGAAGAGGAGCGCUGCCCAGGCAGCCCAAGGGAGGACGCCAGCGUCCGGUGAACUUGGGUCAGGGGGAGCAGCGCCGAGACGAGUGAGGAGACUGGUAACCUCAACGUCGGCUGCGGGGGCUGAAUCCCCCGGGUUGUCAUCGGUAGUGAUCAUCCCCCACCGCGCCCUGUCAGGGGCGGUACGGGAUGGGCUCUGCAGGUGGAGUGCUUCUGGCCGG